Molecule: transfer RNA, 72 nt
Filed under: Capra hircus (goat)
Lineage: Eukaryota; Metazoa; Chordata; Mammalia; Artiodactyla; Bovidae
Also listed under: 1 other name
Rfam family: tRNA
About the family: Transfer RNA (tRNA) molecules are approximately 80 nucleotides in length. Their secondary structure includes four short double-helical elements and three loops (D, anti-codon, and T loops). Further hydrogen bonds mediate the characteristic L-shaped molecular structure. tRNAs have two regions of fundamental functional importance: the anti-codon, which is responsible for specific mRNA codon recognition, and the 3' end, to which the tRNAs corresponding amino acid is attached (by aminoacyl-tRNA synthetases). tRNAs cope with the degeneracy of the genetic code in two manners: having more than one tRNA (with a specific anti-codon) for a particular amino acid; and 'wobble' base-pairing, i.e. permitting non-standard base-pairing at the 3rd anti-codon position.
Source: Rfam by way of RNAcentral
UCCCUGGUGGCUCAGAUGGUAAAGAAUCUGCCUGCAGUGUAGAAGACCUGGGUUCAAUCCCUGGCUUGGGAA